Molecule: ribosomal RNA, 415 nt
Filed under: uncultured bacterium
Lineage: Bacteria
Description: bacterial SSU rRNA
Rfam family: Bacterial small subunit ribosomal RNA
Source: RNAcentral
UGUAAACUCCUGUCAUUGGGGAACAAUGCGUAAAUAUAAACUGUAUUGCGUUGAUAGUACCCGAAGAGGAAGAGACGGCUAACUCUGUGCCAGCAGCCGCGGUAAUACAGAGGUCUCAAGCGUUGUUCGGAUUCAUUGGGCGUAAAGGGUGCGUAGGCGGCGCGGUAAGUCGGGUGUGAAAUCUUGGAGCUUAACUCCGAAACUGCAUUCGAUACUGCCGUGCUUGAGGACUGGAGAGGAGACUGGAAUUUACGGUGUAGCGGUGAAAUGCGUAGAUAUCGUAAGGAAGACCAGUGGCGAAGGCGGGUCUCUGGACAGUUCCUGGGCGCUGAGGCACGAAGGUCAGGGGAGCAAACGGGAUUAGAUACCCCGGUAGUUCCUGACAGUAAACGGUGCACGUUUCGGUGUGGGAGGA